AAUCAUUCGUUUAAUUGAUGAUAAUCAUGUAGCUCAUAUUAUAGAAUAAUUAGUGUCCAAACCAACACUCUUAUCUAUUUAUCUAUUUUUUAUAAUCUGAUAAAAAUAGUAUUUCUUUGUUUAAUUUUUAAAAAAAGUUAAAAAAAAAAUAUGAGAGAAAAAAGUUAUUAUAGAAAAAAAAGAUUAUUUAAUAAAGUUAAAAUAAAAAUAGAGAAGGAGUUAAAUGAUUGCAGUAACUACAAAAAAAGUUUCUAAAA
RNAcentral lists this long non-coding RNA (257 nucleotides) under Lathyrus oleraceus (garden pea). Its description in RNAcentral is "Pisum sativum (pea) long non-coding RNA (PSAT_LNC027623)". The record is from RNAcentral. Lineage: Eukaryota; Viridiplantae; Streptophyta; Magnoliopsida; Fabales; Fabaceae.